GUCCACGCCCUAAACGAUGUCAACUAGGUGUUGGGUGGGUAAAACCAUUUAGUACCGAAGCUAACGCGUGAAGUUGACCGCCUGGGGAGUACGGCCGCAAGGUUAAAACUCAAAGGAAUUGACGGGGACCCGCACAAGCGGUGGAUGAUGUGGAUUAAUUCGAUGCAACGCGAAAAACCUUACCUACCCUUGACAUGUCAGGAAUCCCGCUGAGAGGUGGGAGUGCCCGAAAAGGGAGCCUGAACACAGGUGCUGCAUGGCUGUCGU
RNAcentral lists this ribosomal RNA (267 nucleotides) under uncultured bacterium. RNAcentral describes it as "partial 16S ribosomal RNA". It matches the Rfam family "Bacterial small subunit ribosomal RNA", at positions 793 to 1055 of the family's 1533-position model. The record is from RNAcentral.